CUGCGGCCCCGGCCCCCGCCCCGGCCGCAUGGCUGGACGCGUGCCCAGCUGCUGGCCUGCU
This 61-nucleotide ribosomal RNA is filed under the name Oxyrrhis marina. RNAcentral's name for it is "partial Trypanosomatid mitochondrial large subunit ribosomal RNA". Lineage: Eukaryota; Dinophyceae; Oxyrrhinales; Oxyrrhinaceae. The record is from RNAcentral.